AUUUUGCGCAAUGGGCGAAAGCCUGACGCAGCAACACCGCGUGCGGGAUGAAGGCCCUCGGGUUGUAAACCGCUGUCGGCAGGGAAUAAAUUGACUGUACCUGCAAAGGAAGCACCGGCUAACUACGUGCCAGCAGCCGCGGUAAGACGUAGGGUGCAAGCGUUGUCCGGAAUCAUUGGGCGUAAAGAGUUCGUAGGCGGUUUCUCAAGUCUGGUGUUAAAUACGGGAGCUCAACUCCCGCAUGGCAUUGGAAACUGGGUGACUAGAGUGUGGUAGAGGUUACGGGAAUUCCUGGUGUAGCGGUGAAAUGCGUAGAUAUCAGGAGGAACACCUGUGGCGAAAGCGCGUAACUGGACCAUAACUGACGCUGAGGAACGAAAGCCAGGGGAGCAAAA
RNAcentral lists this ribosomal RNA (395 nucleotides) under uncultured bacterium. Its description in RNAcentral is "bacterial SSU rRNA". It matches the Rfam family "Bacterial small subunit ribosomal RNA", at positions 361 to 773 of the family's 1533-position model. The record is from RNAcentral.